AUACGUAGGGGGCGAGCGUUGUCCGGAAUGAUUGGGCGUAAAGGGCGCGUAGGCGGCCCGGUAAGUCUGGAGUGAAAGUCCUGUUUUUAAGAUGGGAAUUGCUUUGGAUACUGUCGGGCUUGAGUGCAGGAGAGGUAAGUGGAAUUCCCAGUGAAGCGGGGAAAUGCGUAGAGAUUGGGAGGAACACCAGUGGCGAAGGCGACUUACUGGACUGUAACUGACGCUGAGGCGCGAAAGUGUGGGGAGCAAACAGGAUUAGAUACCCUGGUAGUCCACACUGUAAACGAUGAAUGCUAGGUGUAGGGGGUAUCGACCCCUUCUGUGCCGCAGUCAACACAAUAAGCAUUCCGCCUGGGGAGUACGGCCGCAAGGUUGAAACUCAAAUGAAUUGACGGGG
Molecule: ribosomal RNA, 397 nt
Filed under: uncultured bacterium
Lineage: Bacteria
Description: partial 16S ribosomal RNA
Rfam family: Bacterial small subunit ribosomal RNA
Source: RNAcentral